UAAAAAAUAAAUGAUACAUAAUCAAAGGGAAAGUUCAAAGUCUUCCUCGCUUUUCCUUUCUGUGGUUGCCUCUCAAAAAACCCAAAUUCAUCUGAUCAGUUUUUUGUUUGAUCCUCCCUAUUAGUUGAAGCUUCUUUGAGAUGGAGGAGGGCAAGAUGUCUGAGGAUAUUUUGACUUCGGCUGCAGCAUUUGUGGAAGGUGGAAUUCAGGAUGCCUGCGAUGAUGCUUGCAGCAUAUGUCUUGAAGAAUUUUCUGAUAGUGAUCCUUCUACAGUGACAGGCUGCAAGCAUGAGUUCCAUCUUCAGUGUAUUCUAGAAUGGUGUCAAAGAAGCUCCCAGUGCCCCAUGUGUUGGCAACCUCUCAGCUUGAAAGACCCUAACAGCCAGGAAUUGUUGGAUGCAGUAGAGCACGAGAGGAACAUCAGGAUGAAUCCUCCUAGAAACACCACAAUCUUCCACCAUCCAACUUUAGGAGAUUUUGAGUUGCAGCAUUUACCGGUAAGUGCGACUGACUCUGAGCUUGAAGAGCGUAUCAUUCAACACUUAGCUGCUGCCGCUGCCAUGGGAAGGGCACGCCACAUUGCUAGAAGAGAAGGUCAGCGAGGUAGGUCCUCAGCUCAAGGUCGUCCCCAGUAUCUGGUGUUUUCAACUCAUCCAAAUGCUCCUGCUGCUGCUGCUGUUCCUGCUUCAUCUUCUAACCAGAGGAGUGGGGGUGAACCCACUCCUGAAGUCUCGGUUUCUGGUCAGGAUUCUCAGAUUAUUGCUGUUGGAGAAGGUUCGGGACAACUACUUUCUCAACCUCCUUCUUUUCAAGCUGAUGAGGUUUCUGCCUCUGGGUCAGGAUCAAAUGCUGCUGUUAAUCAACUUGGAACUUCGUCACAUAAUAGGAGGAAUCCUUCUCAAUCUUCUCCUAACAAUCAAGACAGAGCCGGACCAUCAGAUUUUCAGUCUUUUUCAGAUUCUAUGAAGUCUCGGUUUAGUGCAAUGUCAAUGAGAUGCAAAGAAUCUUUAACCAAGAAUUCAAGGGGUUGGAAGGAGAGAUUUUUCUCUCGCAACAGUUCAACAUCAGACAAUGUUCCUGAACCUAGGAAUGAAAUGAGGGCAGCUGUUGCCACUGUAUCACACAUGAUGGACCAUCUGGAAACUACAGAUAGCAGAACCAGUUCUGCUGAAUCAAAUAUACUGGACGGUACUUUACCUGACAGACAUGCUGAGCAGCAUAUUCCUGAGACUGAUGAUACUCAUUCUAUAAAUGAGGAUAACAGGCAAUCCCCAUGUGCUGCAAGUUCUGGUUCAAACUAAGUUUUAUAUGAGUUGAAGCAUUUUCUCUUCAAGAUGCACCAACAGAACUUGUAAUUUUUGGAAUAGAAGUGCAGUGGGAGGCUUGGAACAGAAGCUAGAGUAUUUUCUUUUGAUUACAGUGGUGUACCCAGCCAUCUUAUGCGCACCUCGACUUAUUCCAUGGGGUGGAUACUCUUGCCAGCAUCGAUGAUAUAUGGUGUGCAUCUUAUUGGACGUGUGGGGAAACACUAAUCCGUUGAAGUGCAACACUGAAUGUUAAGAUAUAGAGGGAUGGAUGUCAUCAUUUUGUCCAAACCGUGUAUAUGUAUGAUUAUAUAGAUGUAAAUUGACCCAUUCUGGGUAGUAGUACUGAUGACUUCAGCUGUUCUCUUUAAUCUUACAUGAAACCCUCCUUUGUAAUCUUCAUAGACAUUGCUGGACAGUUACUUGACCAAGGUUUUCUUGGGAUUCAGUUGCACGACAUGUUCAUCUUUAACAGACGUCAAUUUUGAGUAAACGUUGAAUUUGUAUAUUGAUUAGACAUUUUCCUGGUG
This is an RNA transcript of Solanum tuberosum (potato), 1834 nucleotides long. It is a transcript of the gene named E3 ubiquitin-protein ligase RHF2A, with no coding region annotated. NCBI's taxonomy places the organism in Eukaryota, Viridiplantae, Streptophyta, Magnoliopsida, Solanales, Solanaceae. The transcript has 10 exons. The record is from RefSeq and is a predicted model, not a curated record.